AUAAAGAUAAUGAAAAAGAGGAGUACGCAAUUACUGUCGUCAGAGAGAAUCAUCCAAAGGCUGUGAGAUGAUUUCGAAAAAGGGUUGUGGAAGGUAGCUUUGGAAUUGGAUAUUUGAAAUUAAGUAGGAUAUCUCGUGGUUGUUUACGUUAUAGAACAAAGAGGUAUACAGAAGAGUUGUCUGUAUAUGAACUUAAGGUGGUACCGCGAUGAUUCGCCCUUUAU
This 224-nucleotide non-coding RNA is filed under the name Bacillota bacterium. RNAcentral describes it as "Firmicutes bacterium T-box sequence". It matches the Rfam family "T-box leader". From Rfam's summary of the family: Uncharged tRNA acts as the effector for transcription antitermination of genes in the T-box leader family. T-boxes are found upstream of many aminoacyl-tRNA synthetase genes and some amino acid biosynthetic genes usually in Gram-positive bacteria. The record is from RNAcentral. Lineage: Bacteria; Bacillati; Bacillota.